This 543-nucleotide ribosomal RNA is filed under the name uncultured bacterium. RNAcentral describes it as "bacterial SSU rRNA". It matches the Rfam family "Bacterial small subunit ribosomal RNA", at positions 355 to 896 of the family's 1533-position model. The record is from RNAcentral.
UGAGGAAUAUUGGUCAAUGGGCGAGAGCCUGAACCAGCCAAGUCGCGUGAAGGAAGACUGUCCUAAGGAUUGUAAACUUCUUUUAUACGGGAAUAACGGGCGAUACGAGUAUUGCAUUGAAUGUACCGUAAGAAUAAGCAUCGGCUAACUCCGUGCCAGCAGCCGCGGUAAUACGGAGGAUGCGAGCGUUAUCCGGAUUUAUUGGGUUUAAAGGGUGCGUAGGUUGUUCGGUAAGUCAGCGGUGAAACCUGAGCGCUCAACGUUCAGCCUGCCGUUGAAACUGCCGGGCUUGAGUUCAGUGGCGGCAGGCGGAAUUCGUGGUGUAGCGGUGAAAUGCAUAGAUAUCACGAGGAACUCCGAUUGCGAAGGCAGCUUGCCAUACUGCGACUGACACUGAAGCACGAAGGCGUGGGUAUCAAACAGGAUUAGAUACCCUGGUAGUCCACGCAGUAAACGAUGAUUACUAGGAGUUUGCGAUAUACCGUCAAGCUUCCACAGCGAAAGCGUUAAGUAAUCCACCUGGGGAGUACGCCGGCAACGGUG